GAAUUACUGGGCGUAAAGAGCUCGUAGGUGGUUUGUCGCGUUGUUCGUGAAAACUCACAGCUUAACUGUGGGCGUGCGGGCGAUACGGGCAGACUAGAGUACUGCAGGGGAGACUGGAAUUCCUGGUGUAGCGGUGGAAUGCGCAGAUAUCAGGAGGAACACCGGUGGCGAAGGCGGGUCUCUGGGCAGUAACUGACGCUGAGGAGCGAAAGCGUGGGGAGCGAACAGGAUUAGAUACCCUGGUAGUCCACGCCGUAAACGGUGGGUACUAGGUGUGGGUUUCCUUCCUUGGGAUCCGUGCCGUAGCUAACGCAUUAAGUACCCCGCCUGGGGAGUACGGCCGCAAGGCUAAAACUCAAAGAAAUUGACGGGGGCCCGCACAAGCGGCGGAGCAUGUGGAUUAAUUCGAUGCAACGCGAAGAACCUUACCUGGGUUUGACAUGCACAGGACGUGCCUAGAGAUAGGUAUUCCCUUGUGGCCUGUGUGCAGGUGGUGCAUGGCUGUCGUCAGCUCGUGUCGUGAGAUGUUGGGUUAAGUCCCGCAACGAGCGCAACCCUCGUCCUAUGUUGCCAGCGGGUUAUGCCGGGGACUCGUAGGAGACUGCCGGGGUCAACUCGGAGGAAGGUGGGGAUGACGUCAAGUCAUCAUGCCCCUUAUGUCCAGGGCUUCACACAUGCUACAAUGGCCGGUACAAAGGGCUGCGAUGCCGCGAGGUGGAGCGAAUCCUUUAAAGCCGGUCUCAGUUCGGAUUGGGGUCUGCAACUCGACCCCAUGAAGUCGGAGUCGCUAGUAAUCGCAGAUCAGCAACGCUGCGGUGAAUACGUUCCCGGGCCUUGUACACACCGCCCGUCACGUCAUGAAAGUCGGUAACACCCGAAGCCGGUGGCCUAACCC
This 895-nucleotide ribosomal RNA is filed under the name Mycobacterium sp. Its description in RNAcentral is "bacterial SSU rRNA". It matches the Rfam family "Bacterial small subunit ribosomal RNA", at positions 548 to 1441 of the family's 1533-position model. Lineage: Bacteria; Bacillati; Actinomycetota; Actinomycetes; Mycobacteriales; Mycobacteriaceae. The record is from RNAcentral.